This 74-nucleotide transfer RNA is filed under the name Candidatus Berkelbacteria bacterium. Its description in RNAcentral is "tRNA-Lys". It matches the Rfam family "tRNA". From Rfam's summary of the family: Transfer RNA (tRNA) molecules are approximately 80 nucleotides in length. Lineage: Bacteria; Candidatus Berkelbacteria. The record is from RNAcentral.
GGGUCCGUAGCUCGAAGGUCGAGCAAGAGCCUUUUAAGCUCGUGGCGAGGGUUCGAUUCCCUCCGGACCUACCA